UUAAAAGCGUUAAAGCUUAAUAUUACUUCAAAAGAAUUCUUAAACUAAAUAUGAACCCAAAUUAACUACUGAGUGACCCCAUAAAAAUAUGGAAUCCAUUAUGUUAGAACUAGUAACUAGAAUUAAUUAAUUCUCCAAAAUGUAAGCAUAAACCAAUAUGGAUAAUCCACUGGUAAUUAACGAAAAUGAAUGAAUUACAAUACCCCACCCCGAAAAACAUGUAAUAACUAAUCGUCAAUCUUACACUAGAACAUUAAUGGAAAGAUUAAAAGAAGGAGAAGGAACUCGGCAAAUCUCGGCCCCGCCUGUUUACCAAAAACAUCGCCUCUUGCUUAAUAUAAGAGGUCCAGCCUGCCCAGUGAAAAUUUAACGGCCGCGGUACCCUGACCGCGCGAAGGUAGCAUAAUCACUCGUUCUUUAAAUAGGGACUUGUAUCAACGGCAUCACGAGGGUCGCACUGUCUCCUCCUUCCAAUCAGUGAACCUGAUCUCUCCGUGAAGAAGCGGGGAUAAAAAUAUAAGACGAGAAGACCCCAUGGAGCUUUAAACCUAAAGCAAUCUAAUCAAAUAAACCCCCAUAAAAAUUUAAAUAUGUGCACGGUUUUAGGUUGGGGUGACCGCGGAGUAAAAAUAAACCUCCACAACGAAAAAUAAAUUUUAUUCAAGAGCUACUACUCUAAAAAUUAGCACACUAACGAACAAUGACCCGAUAAUCGAUCAAUGAACCAAGUUACCCUGGGGAUAACAGCGCAAUCUACUUCAAGAGCCCAUAUCGACAAGUAGGCUUACGACCUCGAUGUUGGAUCAGGGUAUCCCAGUGGUGCAACCGCUACUAAUGGGUUCGUUUGUUCAACGAUUAAACCC
RNAcentral lists this ribosomal RNA (863 nucleotides) under Chirixalus nongkhorensis (Nongkhor pigmy tree frog). Its description in RNAcentral is "Chiromantis nongkhorensis (Nongkhor pigmy tree frog) partial 16S ribosomal RNA". It matches the Rfam family "Bacterial large subunit ribosomal RNA", at positions 1123 to 2595 of the family's 2925-position model. Lineage: Eukaryota; Metazoa; Chordata; Amphibia; Anura; Rhacophoridae. The record is from RNAcentral.